Molecule: long non-coding RNA, 1101 nt
Filed under: Canis lupus familiaris (dog)
Lineage: Eukaryota; Metazoa; Chordata; Mammalia; Carnivora; Canidae
Description: lncRNA (ENSCAFG00000051150.1, ENSCAFG00805008248.1, ENSCAFG00845000364.1)
Source: RNAcentral
AUAGCAGAUGGCCCCACUUUCUUUAUGAUUGGACUGGAUGAUCCACUUGGGACAAGUGUCGUUAUCUCCUGAGACAAGUCAUCUCAGUCAUCUCCCACUUGCCAGCAAUUCCUUAUAAUUAGGACAAUGUUAUGGCUGGACCUCAAACAAAGAGGGCUUCCUGAUGGUUUCAUCCCUCAAAGUCAUAUUUAUCCCAGAAGCCACCUCUAUUGUACAAUUCCAGGUAAAGGAUUUAGCCAAGCACGCAACAGCGCUCCUGGUAAAAUAAGCCUCAAAGCUCACUCCUGGACAAUCUCUGACUGUAACGACUUCACAUCAGGUCCAGAGUGUCGUGUCUUAGAGACCAAAGACCACCAACAGAUGAUGGGAGGCCGGCUUAUUAAACACCAGGCUACGCUUAUAGAUAUGCCUGAGAUAUACUUGAAACCCAGCUACCCUUCUGCCUGGACCUGAGCAUCAUACUUCCUUAAGCACAACUGUUCAGAGUGCUCUAUUGAUUUUGUAUAUUCUAGUCGACCAGAUGUAAAAGCUUCCCCUAUCAAAAAUGCAGAUGACAGUUGGCUUACUGAUGGCAACAGUGUUGUCAUAGAAAAGAGAGUGAGAAAAGCUGGGCAUGCUAUAGCACUCAAUCGUGCUUUGCAAUUAGCAAAGCCUUAAAAAUUAAUAUUUGUACUGACUCCAAAUAUGCUUUCCUAGUCUUACAUGCCCACAGUGCAAUUUAGAAGAAAAGGGAAUAAUUAUCAAGCCAUAACUCUCCAAUCAAAUAUGGGCCUGAAAUUAUUACUCUUCUUGAGGCUGUACACCUACCUAAGGAGGUAGCUGUAAUUCAAAAGACUUCAGAGGAUAAGACCUUAGAACCUAAAGGAAGCACACAAUAAACAAAUAUUAAGUAUUUUACCAGUCUUAACUCCAAUGAAGACCAUAAGUCCAGUUUAUUCACCCCAAGAAAUGCACAAGACUGGCUUGUUAAUAAUGAGAAAAAAAUCUUUAUACCCAGAAAUAACCAAUGGAAGAUAAUACAGCGUUUAUACCAGGCUACUAAUUUGGGUAAAAAAGGCCAUGGACAUGACCAGAAAAAACAAAAACAGAAACAAAAAAAAA